AGCUUGCUCUUCCUGGAUGAGUUGCGAACGGGUGAGUAACGCGUAAGUAACCUGCCUUGUAGCGGGGGAUAACUAUUGGAAACGAUAACUAAUACCCCAUAACAAUGGAUGACACAUGUCAUUUAUUUGAAAGGGGCAAUUGCUCCACUACAAGAUGGACCUGCGUUGUAUUAUCUAGUAGGUGAGGUAAUGGCUCACCUAGGCGACGAUACAUAGCCGACCUGAGAGGGUGAUCGGCCACACUGGGACUGAGACACGGCCCAUACUCCUACGGGAGGCACCACUAGGGAAUCUUCGGCAAUGGGGGCAACCCUGACCGAGCAACGCCGCGUGAGUGAAGAAGGUUUUCGGAUCGUAAAGCUCUGUUGUAAGUCAAGAACGGGUGUGAGAGUGGAAAGUUCACACUGUGACGGUAGCUUACCAGAAAGGGACGGCUAACUACGUGCCAGCAGCCGCGGUAAUACGUAG
This 468-nucleotide ribosomal RNA is filed under the name Streptococcus thermophilus. RNAcentral's name for it is "bacterial SSU rRNA". It matches the Rfam family "Bacterial small subunit ribosomal RNA", at positions 77 to 530 of the family's 1533-position model. The record is from RNAcentral. Lineage: Bacteria; Bacillati; Bacillota; Bacilli; Lactobacillales; Streptococcaceae.